Molecule: ribosomal RNA, 1019 nt
Rfam family: Eukaryotic small subunit ribosomal RNA
AUACCGUGAAACUGCGAAUGGCUCAUUAAAUCAGUUAUCGUUUAUUUGAUAGUACCUUACUACAUGGAUAACCGUGGUAAUUCUAGAGCUAAUACAUGCUAAAAACCCCAACUUCGGGAGGGGUGUAUUUAUUAGAUAAAAAACCAACGCCCUUCGGGGCUUCUUGGUGAUUCAUAAUAACUUUACGGAUCGCAUGGCCUUGCGCCGGCGACGGUUCAUUCAAAUUUCUGCCCUAUCAACUUUCGAUGGUAAGGUAUUGGCUUACCAUGGUUUCAACGGGUAACGGGGAAUUAGGGUUCGAUUCCGGAGAGGGAGCCUGAGAAACGGCUACCACAUCCAAGGAAGGCAGCAGGCGCGCAAAUUACCCAAUCCCGACACGGGGAGGUAGUGACAAUAAAUACUGAUACAGGGCUCUUUUGGGUCUUGUAAUUGGAAUGAGUACAAUUUAAACCUCUUAACGAGGAACAAUUGGAGGGCAAGUCUGGUGCCAGCAGCCGCGGUAAUUCCAGCUCCAAUAGCGUAUAUUAAAGUUGUUGCAGUUAAAAAGCUCGUAGUUGAAACUUGGGUCUGGCUGGCAGGUCCGCCUCACCGCGUGUACUUGUCCGGCCGGGCCUUCCUUCUGGAGAACCUCAUGCCCUUCACUGGGCGUGUUGGGGACCAGGACUUUUACUUUGAAAAAAUUAGAGUGUUCAAAGCAGGCCUUUGCUCGAAUACGUUAGCAUGGAAUAAUAGAAUAGGACGUGCGGUCCUAUUUUGUUGGUUUCUAGGACCGCCGUAAUGAUUAAUAGGGACAGUCGGGGGCAUCAGUAUUCAAUUGUCAGAGGUGAAAUUCUUGGAUUUAUUGAAGACUAACUACUGCGAAAGCAUUUGCCAAGGAUGUUUUCAUUAAUCAGUGAACGAAAGUUAGGGGAUCGAAGACGAUCAGAUACCGUCGUAGUCUUAACCGUAAACUAUGCCGACUAGGGAUCGGGCGAUGUUCUUUUUCUGACUCGCUCGGCACCUUACGAGAAAUCAAAGUU